CCUACGGGACGCAGCAGUGGGGAAUAUUGCACAAUGGGGGAAACCCUGAUGCAGCGACGCCGCGUGAGUGAGGAAGUAUUUCGGUAUGUAAAGCUCUAUCAGCAGGGAAGAAAAAAUGACGGUACCUGACUAAGAAGCACCGGCUAAAUACGUGCCAGCAGCCGCGGUAAUACGUAGGGGGCAAGCGUUAUCCGGAUUUACUGGGUGUAAAGGGAGCGUAGACGGCAGCGCAAGUCUGGAGUGAAAUGCCGGGGCCCAACCCCGGAACUGCUUUGGAAACUGUGCAGCUCGAGUGCAGGAGAGGU
This 305-nucleotide ribosomal RNA is filed under the name uncultured bacterium. RNAcentral describes it as "bacterial SSU rRNA". It matches the Rfam family "Bacterial small subunit ribosomal RNA", at positions 338 to 658 of the family's 1533-position model. The record is from RNAcentral.